GACGAACGCUGGCGGCGUGCUUAACACAUGCAAGUCGAACGGAAAGGCCCUGCUUUUGUGGGGUGCUCGAGUGGCGAACGGGUGAGUAACACGUGAGUAACCUGCCCUUGACUUUGGGAUAACUUCAGGAAACUGGGGCUAAUACCGGAUAGGAGCUCCUGCUGCAUGGUGGGGGUUGGAAAGUUUCGGCGGUUGGGGAUGGACUCGCGGCUUAUCAGCUUGUUGGUGGGGUAGUGGCUUACCAAGGCUUUGACGGGUAGCCGGCCUGAGAGGGUGACCGGCCACAUUGGGACUGAGAUACGGCCCAGACUCCUACGGGAGGCAGCAGUGGGGAAUAUUGCAUAAUGGGCGGAAGCCUGAUGCAGCAACGCCGCGUGCGGGAUGACGGCCUUCGGGUUGUAAACCGCUUUCGCCUGUGACGAAGCGUGAGUGACGGUAAUGGGUAAAGAAGCACCGGCUAACUACGUGCCAGCAGCCGCGGUGAUACGUAGGGUGCGAGCGUUGUCCGGAUUUAUUGGGCGUAAAGGGCUCGUAGGUGGUUGAUCGCGUCGGAAGUGUAAUCUUGGGGCUUAACCCUGAGCGUGCUUUCGAUACGGGUUGACUUGAGGAAGGUAGGGGAGAAUGGAAUUCCUGGUGGAGCGGUGGAAUGCGCAGAUAUCAGGAGGAACACCAGUGGCGAAGGCGGUUCUCUGGGCCUUUCCUGACGCUGAGGAGCGAAAGCGUGGGGAGCGAACAGGCUUAGAUACCCUGGUAGUCCACGCUGUAAACGGUGGGUACUAGGUGUGGGGUCCAUUCCACGGGUUCCGUGCCGUAGCUAACGCUUUAAGUACCCCGCCUGGGGAGUACGGCCGCAAGGCUAAAACUCAAAGGAAUUGACGGGGCCCCGCACAAGCGGCGGAGCAUGCGGAUUAAUUCGAUGCAACGCGUAGAACCUUACCUGGGUUUGACAUGGAUCGGGAGUGCUCAGAGAUGGGUGUGCCUCUUUUGGGGUCGGUUCACAGGUGGUGCAUGGCUGUCGUCAGCUCGUGUCGUGAGAUGUUGGGUUAAGUCCCGCAACGAGCGCAACCCUUGUUCACUGUUGCCAGCACGUUAUGGUGGGGACUCAGUGGAGACCGCCGGGGUCAACUCGGAGGAAGGUGGAGAUGACGUCAAGUCAUCAUGCCCCUUAUGUCCAGGGCUUCACGCAUGCUACAAUGGCUGGUACAGAGAGUGGCGAGCCUGUGAGGGUGAGCGAAUCUCGGAAAGCCGGUCUCAGUUCGGAUUGGGGUCUGCAACUCGACCUCAUGAAGUCGGAGUCGCUAGUAAUCGCAGAUCAGCAACGCUGCGGUGAAUACGUUCCCGGG
RNAcentral lists this ribosomal RNA (1343 nucleotides) under uncultured bacterium. RNAcentral's name for it is "16S ribosomal RNA". It matches the Rfam family "Bacterial small subunit ribosomal RNA", at positions 28 to 1378 of the family's 1533-position model. The record is from RNAcentral.